This 665-nucleotide unclassified non-coding RNA is filed under the name Hevea brasiliensis (rubber tree). Lineage: Eukaryota; Viridiplantae; Streptophyta; Magnoliopsida; Malpighiales; Euphorbiaceae. The record is from RNAcentral.
ACAACUAAAAGAAAUCAAAUUCCAGAUAAUUAUUCUGCUCAGGAAGAACAGCAGGUGCACCUUUACCACUUGUUGAUGGUGGAGUUGGAAUCUGCUCUAUCUCUAGCGGCUUAGGAAUCUCAGGUGGGCUUGCGCAACGAAUCAAUGCCCAGUUUACACCUUCAAAGAAGGAAUGUUGUUUAAUCUCUGUAGCUCCUCGUUUAUAAGCCAGUCUAUGUUGUGGCUCUUUCACCAGCAAGCCCCUUAUCAGAUCUUUUGCUGAGAAACUGACAAUUGGUGACUCGGGAAAUCUUAAUGGCUGACCCACCACAUUGAAGAGGGUAGCACGGUUCCCAGACCCUUUGAAUGGAGUUUUACCAAACAGUAACUCAUACAGAAAGAUUCCAAAAGUCCACCAAUCUACAGCACUUCCAUGCCCUUCACCCUUGAUAAUUUCAGGGGCCAGGUAUUCAUGGGUGCCAACAAAGGACAUGGAACGUGCAUCAGUCGGCUCUGCAAUAAGCUCUGGCAAUGGGGUGACUUGGUUCCCCAUUUCAUUCUUGGGUUUUCGAUCUUUCCUGGAUUUGCUUAAAAAGAGUCGAGGCGAAAAACAUGUUGUAGGGGCCACACAUGAAGGCUGGAUACAAGAUGGCUCAAUACAAGCUGGUUGAACACAAUAAGCUGGG